AGCCACCAUGUAGUUGUUGGGAACUGAACUCAGGACCUCUGUAAGAGCAGCCAAUGCUACUGACAUCUCUGCAGCCCCCAUGGCCCAUGGAGGUCAGAGGUCAAUUUGUAAGAGUUGUUUCUCUUCCUGGGCUCAUUUGAGUACCAGGAAUUAAACUUGGGCCCCAAGGCUUGGCAGUGAUGGUUCUACCUAUAACCAUCUUGCCUGGCCUGCAUGGCCAUUUUUAAAGGCAAACCCCUCAGCUGUUUUUCUCCUUGUUCAGAGACUAUAGGAUGUCCCUUCUUUCCUCACUUGAUGCAGGAACCCAGGGGACCAGUCUGUACAGGAAGUCCAGGGUGAAGUGCUAACCAGGCUGGGCAGACAUGCUCCCCAAGUUUCCUCUUUCUUCUGGGGCUGGGUGUUGGGUGUGGAUGACCCCAGUGUUAUUUUUAAUUCCAGAUCCACACAAUCUAAAGAUCUCCUGUCGAGUGAAUGGGGAGAUUGUCCAGAGCAGCAACACCAACCAGAUGGUGUUCAAGACUGAAGAUCUGAUAGCCUGGGUCUCCCAGUUUGUCACUCUGUACCCAGGGGACAUUCUCCUGACUGGGACUCCUCCAGGUGUUGGCAUGUUUAGGAAGCCUCCUGUCUUUCUCAAGGUAAGUUAGUUCAGAAGAGGAGAGCCAGGAGGCCUGUAAAGCUUGAAGCAGCCCAGGGGGCGAGUCUAAGGGGAGAGCAUGUUCAGGAGCC
RNAcentral lists this long non-coding RNA (726 nucleotides) under Rattus norvegicus (Norway rat). RNAcentral's name for it is "long non-coding RNA NONRATT018583". Lineage: Eukaryota; Metazoa; Chordata; Mammalia; Rodentia; Muridae. The record is from RNAcentral.